CCUACGGGAGGCAGCAGUGAGGAAUAUUGGUCAAUGGACGGGAGCCUGAACCAGCCAAGUCGCGUGAGGGAUGAAUGCCCUGAGGGUUGUAAACCUCUUUUAUAUGGGGAUAAAGCGUUCCACGGGUGGGCUUUAGUGGGUACCAUAUGAAUAAGGAUCGGCUAACUCCGUGCCAGCAGCCGCGGUAAUACGGAGGAUUCGAGCGUUAUCCGGAUUUAUUGGGUUUAAAGGGUGCGUAGGCGGAUUGUUAAGUCAGUUGUGAAAGUUUGCGGCUCAACCGUGACACUGCAGUUGAAACUGGCGUGCUCGAGUACGGUAGAAGUAGGCGGAAUUCGUGGUGUAGCGGUGAAAUGCAUAGAUAUCACGAAGAACCCCGAUUGCGAAGGCAGUACACUGGACUGCAACUGACGCUGAGGCACGAAAGUGUGGGUAUCGAACAGGAUUAGAUACCCGAGUAGUC
RNAcentral lists this ribosomal RNA (460 nucleotides) under uncultured bacterium. Its description in RNAcentral is "partial 16S ribosomal RNA". It matches the Rfam family "Bacterial small subunit ribosomal RNA", at positions 338 to 795 of the family's 1533-position model. The record is from RNAcentral.